Molecule: ribosomal RNA, 613 nt
Filed under: uncultured fungus
Lineage: Eukaryota; Fungi
Description: eukaryotic LSU rRNA
Rfam family: 5.8S ribosomal RNA (bases 214-367)
Source: RNAcentral
UCCGUAGGUGAACCUGCGGAAGGAUCAUUACAAAACUAGUCGUUCGUGUCAGGGUAACCUGAUUACGAUGUAAGCUCACUAGUCACCCUUGAAUAAACUACCUUUGUUGCUUUGGCGGGCCGCCUGUUGGCCAGUGGCUCCCGCUGCUGCGCGCCCGCCAGAGGACCCCCAACUCUUGUUUUUAGUGGCGUCUGAGUACUAUAUAAUAGUUAAAACUUUCAACAACGGAUCUCUUGGUUCUGGCAUCGAUGAAGAACGCAGCGAAAUGCGAUAAGUAAUGUGAAUUGCAGAAUUUAGUGAAUCAUCGAAUCUUUGAACGCACAUUGCGCCCUUUGGUAUUCCGAAGGGCAUGCCUGUUCGAGCGUCAUUAUAACCACUCAAGCCUUUGCUUGGUAUUGGGGUUCGCGGUCUCGCGGCCCCUAAAAUCAGUGGCGGUGCCUGUCGGCUCUACGCGUAGUAAUACUCCUCGCGAUUGAGACCGGUGGGUAGCUUGCCAACAACCCUAAUUUUCUCAGGUUGACCUCGGAUCAGGUAGGGAUACCCGCUGAACUUAAGCAUAUCAAUAAGCGGAGGGAAGUCGGACUGGCCAAGGGGCACACCAGGGGGGGGGAUA